CAGUUUCCUGAGAAGCCAGUUUCUUAGAGCUGUCAUUCAAGAGUGGGUCAAAUUUGAGAUAUAAAAACCUUUCUCAAGGUAGACUCUUUGGCCCCUAUGCCUAGUAUGUCAGCUGGGCCUCUGAAGCUCUCCUCUUUGAGGUCCUGGCAGGCUCUGGCCCCUGUUGAGAAGGGGAAGCAGUCAUGUGAACUCAUGUGCUGGAAGAAUCCACUCUACCCCUUCCCUGGCUUCUCUGCUGCAAUUUUUGUCUUUAAACGUAUUUUCAGAUCCUUUGCACAUGGCCUGCUAUCAACAAUCCUCUACAAUGAUUCUCAGCAUCACCUAGGGAGCUUAUGUAAAAUCUCAAAUUCCUGGGCCCUAUCCCCAGAGUUUCUUAUCAAGUAAGUCUGCAUUGGGAUCUGAGGAUUUGCAUCUCUAACAAAAAUUCCUAGGCGAUGCUCACACUGUUGGUGUAAGGUUUCCUUGAUGGAGAACUAUCAAAGCAGUCAAAGCUAUCAAAAUAAAAAAGAAUUCUGAUUGGGUGCAGUGGCUCACACCUGUCAUUCCAGCACUUUGAGAGGCCAAGGUGGGCAGAUCACAUGAGGCCAGGAGUUCAAGACCAGCCUGGCCAACAUGGCAGAAACCCCAUCUCUACUAAAAAUACCAAAAUUAGCCGGGCAUGGUGGAACACACCUGCAAUCCCAGCUACUCGGGAGGCUGAGGCAAGAGAAUCGCUUGAACCUGGGAGGCAGAAGUUGCAGUGAAACAAGUUGGUGCCAAUGCAUUCCAGCCUGGAUGAUGGAGCGAGACUCUGUCUCAAGAAAAAAAAAACAAAAACAAAAACAGAACUCUGCCUCAUAGCGUCUUUUAAGUUAUACACUGGACCUAUCCUUUCCUCACUGACAGACAUUUUAAAAAUUUUUUGGUAAGGCCUAGUUCAUAUAAAAUGUAAUCCAAGCCAAAAGUUAACAAGAAUAAGGGGAGGAAAGGGGACUCCAAUAGCAGAGAAAGGUAUUUACCUGGGAUAUACACUGCAAGAAAAUCAAAGCUAUAAGAAACGUCCAUGAAUAGUAGCCAUAAGGCAUCAGAGUGAUAAAAUUCCUGUCCCUAGGAGGGAAUAUUGGAGUUUGCCAGAGAAACAGAAUGAGAGAGACAGAGAGGUUUAUUGUAGGAAUUGGCUCAUAUGAUUACGGAGGCUGAGAAGACCCACGAUCUGCCAUCUGCAAGCUGGAGAAUCAGGAAAGCUGGAGGUGUAAUUCAGUCAAGUCCAAUGGCCAGAGAAGCAAGUGUACUGAUAUCCAAGAGCAGGAGAAAAUAGAUGUCCCAGAACAAGCAGAGAGGCUGAUUUUGUCCUUCCUCUGCCUUUUUGUUUCAUAUGGGGCACUGAAUGGACUGAUGCCCAUCCACAUUAGUGAGGGUGGAUCUUCUUUACUCAGUCUACCAGUAGAAAUGUCAAUGACUUCCAGAAACACCCUCACCAACACACGUGGAAAUAAUGUUUUACCAGGUAUCUGGGCAUCCCUUGGUUCACUCAAGUUGACACAAAAUUAACCAUCACAGAAGGAGACUGGCCUUACUCUGAAAUUAGGAAACUAAAGAAGUGACCAGAAUGGAGACUAGGUAGAGACAACUAGUUCUCUACCAAACAUGUACAGUUAUUCGUUGGUAUCUGAAGGGGAUUGGUUCCAGGAACUCUCAGGGAUACCAAAAUCUGCAGGUGCUCAAGUCAUUUAUAUAAAAUAUUACAGUAUUUGCAUAUAACCUUUGCACAUCUUCCAUAUACUUUAAAUCAUCUCUACAUUACUUAUAAUAAUGAAUGUGUAAAUGCUAUGAAAAUAGUUACUACACUAUUGUUUAUUUGUAUUUUUAUUGAAUUGUUUUGGGGUGGGGGGCAGCUGUAUCUUUCUUAGUAAUAGAACCCCUGGUUUUAGCUGGGCACAUGACUGCCCUCAAUAAAGAUUAAAGUACCCCAGCCUUCCUUGAGAUUGUGGCCAUGUGACUGAACUUUAGACAGUGAGAUAUAAGCAGAUAUCUUCUGUGGCAGUGUUAGGAAACUAUUAAAGACAGUAAGAACAUUGCCCUUUGCCUUCUUUUUCCUUUCUUCAUUUUUCUGCCUGGAAUGCAAAUGUGAUGGCUAACACCCUAGCAGCCAUUUUAGAUUAUGAAGAUGAGAGUCACUCCCCAGGAAGGGUGGACCUGAAAGCUGGAUUCUAGAUGUGGAAUGACAAUACCAGCCCUGGACUACCUACCUGUAGGCUGUGUGUGUGUGUGUGUGAUUGACAGAGAGAGAGAGAGAUAGAUACCACAAGUAACACAAAGCAUCAUACCUGGGACUGGGAAGGUUAAUGUUUAAACAUUUUAAAUGUGGCAUUGGUUUGUUGAAGACAGUCAAGCAGUAGGUGCUGCAGGCUUUGUUGAGGCUAGAAAGCUGUUGGUCUUUAUUAGGUGAUGGCAAAACAAUGGAUCACAUUUUCAUGUGCUGUGUCUUGGGAGGCAAAUGAUGAGAAUGUAGGAUUGGGGAAAAUGGUAAGGAAAAUCCAAAAUGUUCAUGUUUUCUAACCCCUUCUUGCCAAUCUUAAAAGAAGGACAAACAGGCUAGAUUAAGCAAGUCUACAGUUACAAUUGGAAGGAAACACAGCCGUACUAAGGAAGUACUCUGUCUGUGGCCUGCAGUCUAGUUUGACUAGGUCCUGUAUUUGAGCUUUGAAAGAGUAAAGAAUACAAGUGCUCGUAUACCCCUGAAGUAGUUACCAGCAGUGACUGCAAGGAGGUAAUCUUAUGGGAUGAAACUAUAACUCUGUAUUAACCAUCAUAUAUAGCAUAUAUGUGUAUAUGUAUGUGUGUGUGUGUAUAUGUGUAUAUAAAUAUAUGUGUGUGUAUAUACACACAUGUACACACCCUACAACCCAGUGAUUUCAAAAAAUUAAACAUUUGUUUAGCUCAUGAAUCUGUGGGUUGGGUGAACAUUUCUAUUGGUCUUGGCUGGGCUCACCUGUACCCAGUCAGCUGCAGGGUCUAGCUCUUCUUAUCUUGGCUGGGAUCUCACACAUGUCUAGGAUCAGCUGCUUUACUAGUCUAGGAUUGUCUUGGCUGAGACAGGUGGACUACUCAGUUCUCCUCCACUGCCUUAUCCUUCAGCUGGCCAGCCCAGAAAUGUUGCCAUGUUUACAGCAUAAGAGCAAGCAAGAAAGAAUAAUAUGCAACCACUUUUCCAAGCCUAAGGUGAAAGGGCGGGCAGAACCUGUGGUGUUAGGAGGCAACUCAUACCAGCCCAUGGGUCUACCGUUUAAUUUUCAGAAAUUUGGCAAGCUGAUUGUUAACACAGCUGUUGUUUAAUUUAUGUACUUGUAAUUAAAUAAUUUACAUUAAAACAAAGAUAAUAGGUACUCAAAA
RNAcentral lists this long non-coding RNA (3372 nucleotides) under Homo sapiens (human). Its description in RNAcentral is "non-protein coding LINC00667:18". The record is from RNAcentral. Lineage: Eukaryota; Metazoa; Chordata; Mammalia; Primates; Hominidae.